UACGGGAGGCAGCAGUGGGGAAUAUUGCACAAUGGGCGGAAGCCUGAUGCAGCAACGCCGCGUGAGGGAUGACGGCCUUCGGGUUGUAAACCUCUUUUAGCAGGGAAGAAGCGAGAGUGACGGUACCUGCAGAAAAAGCACCGGCUAACUACGUGCCAGCAGCCGCGGUAAUACGUAGGGUGCAAGCGUUAUCCGGAAUUAUUGGGCGUAAAGAGCUCGUAGGCGGUCUGUCGCGUYUGCUGUGAAAUUCCGAGGCUCAACCUCGGGCUUGCAGUGGGUACGGGCAGACUAGAGUGCGGUAGGGGAGAUUGGAAUUCCUGGUGUAGCGGUGGAAUGCGCAGAUAUCAGGAGGAACACCGAUGGCGAAGGCAGAUCUYUGGGCCGUAACUGACGCUGAGGAGCGAAAGGGUGGGGAGCAAACAGGCUUAGAUACCCUGGUAGUCCACCCCGUAAACGUUGGGAACUAGUUGUGGGGUCCUUUCCACGGAUUCCGUGACGCAGCUAACGCAUUAAGUUCCCCGCCUGGGGAGUACGGCCGCAAGGCUAAAACUCAAAGGAAUUGACGGGGACCCGCACAAGCGGCGGAGCAUGCGGAUUAAUUCGAUGCAACGCGAAGAACCUUACCAAGGCUUGACAUACACGAGAACGGGCCAGAAAUGGUC
This 662-nucleotide ribosomal RNA is filed under the name Microbacterium sp. RNAcentral's name for it is "bacterial SSU rRNA". It matches the Rfam family "Bacterial small subunit ribosomal RNA", at positions 340 to 1011 of the family's 1533-position model. The record is from RNAcentral. Lineage: Bacteria; Bacillati; Actinomycetota; Actinomycetes; Micrococcales; Microbacteriaceae.